AACGAACGCUGGCGGCAGGCUUAACACAUGCAAGUCGAACGCCCCGCCAGGGGAGUGGCAGACGGGUGAGUAACGCGUGGGAACAUACCCUUUCCUGCGGAAUAGCUCCGGGAAACUGGAAUUAAUACCGCAUACGCCCUACGGGGGAAAGAUUUAUCGGGGAAGGAUUGGCCCGCGUUGGAUUAGCUAGUUGGUGGGGUAAAGGCCUACCAAGGCGACGAUCCAUAGCUGGUCUGAGAGGAUGAUCAGCCACAUUGGGACUGAGACACGGCCCAAACUCCUACGGGAGGCAGCAGUGGGGAAUAUUGGACAAUGGGCGCAAGCCUGAUCCAGCCAUGCCGCGUGAGUGAUGAAGGCCUUAGGGUUGUAAAGCUCUUUCACCGAUGAAGAUAAUGACGGUAGUCGGAGAAGAAGCCCCGGCUAACUUCGUGC
This 432-nucleotide ribosomal RNA is filed under the name uncultured bacterium. Its description in RNAcentral is "partial 16S ribosomal RNA". It matches the Rfam family "Bacterial small subunit ribosomal RNA", at positions 29 to 508 of the family's 1533-position model. The record is from RNAcentral.